AGAGCGAACGCUGGCGGCAGGCCUAAUACAUGCAAGUCGAACGGACCCUUCGGGGUUAGUGGCGGACGGGUGAGUAACACGUGGGAACGUGCCCUUUGGUUCGGAACAACUCAGGGAAACUUGAGCUAAUACCGAAUGUGCCCCCAUCCUUAAACAAGAUGGGUGGGAAAGAUUUAUCGCCAUUGGAGCGGCCCGCGUCUGAUUAGCUAGUUGGUGAGGUAAAGGCUCACCAAGGCGACGAUCAGUAGCUGGUCUGAGAGGAUGAUCAGCCACACUGGGACUGAGACACGGCCCAGACUCCUACGGGAGGCAGCAGUAGGGAAUCUUGCGCAAUGGGCGAAAGCCUGACGCAGCCAUGCCGCGUGAAUGAUGAAGGUCUUAGGAUUGUAAAAUUCUUUCAGCGGGACGAUAAUGACGGUACCGCAGAAGAAGCCCGGCUAACUUCGUGCCAGCAGCCGC
Molecule: ribosomal RNA, 459 nt
Filed under: uncultured bacterium
Lineage: Bacteria
Description: SSU rRNA
Rfam family: Bacterial small subunit ribosomal RNA
Source: RNAcentral